CUUUAGUGACUGCACUUCAGCUGCUCUGUAACCAGAGAAUAGAGCACACAGCACUUUGGAAAUGAAUUGAAACUGCAUAGAAUAGGAGAAGAAAAUCGGAUCUGAGUCCUGCUGAAGUCUUGGGCUCCUUCAAGAAUUGGGGAGGCAACGCAAAACCCCAAGACAGUGGUUUUCAGUACAUGAACUGAAGCUUCUGGCUGCUGCAGAAGAGUUUUCCUCUAUGUCUCUCAUGAAACUUCCAUAAAGCAUUUGCAAUGCCUUGACGUUCUGCCAUCCGAGGGGGAAUUAAUCGCCGGGAUGGCAUGAAGAGCACAGCACAGAAAGCAGGCAUGGUCCAGACCUCAAGGGACUAAUUAUGUUCUUAAAGGGUAAGAAAGUAGUCUUAGGUACAUUGGGAAGUGUCUGAG
Molecule: long non-coding RNA, 407 nt
Filed under: Anas platyrhynchos platyrhynchos (common mallard)
Lineage: Eukaryota; Metazoa; Chordata; Aves; Anseriformes; Anatidae
Description: lncRNA (ENSAPLG00000021750.1)
Source: RNAcentral